This 114-nucleotide ribosomal RNA is filed under the name Nosocomiicoccus ampullae. The record is from RNAcentral. Lineage: Bacteria; Bacillati; Bacillota; Bacilli; Caryophanales; Staphylococcaceae. RNAcentral also lists the same sequence under 3 other names.
UCUAGUGACGAUGGCGGAGAGGCCACACCUGUUCCCAUGCCGAACACAGAAGUUAAGCUCUCCAGCGCCGAUGGUAGUUCGGUUGACCCGUGCUAGAGUAGGACGUCGCUAGGC